CUCUGGGUGAACGGCUCGCUCCAGAGCACAUAUACUAGCACACUCUGGGUGUUGUAGGAUUAUGGGGUUCCAGACAUGCUUUCCCAAAAUAUGGCACACCUUGGCAUAUUGCAUACUUCAAGUUGGAGGAAUUUAAGAACUGGCAUGUGCAGGACCUGACUUUCUGAUCGCGUCCUGAAGCAGAUCGUAAUGCCUUCAUGGAAGAGGUGCCCGCCCUCCCUAUAACUGGAGGAAAGGAGCAUCCUUAUUUGGGAAAACAAAACGACACACACACAGAGGAAUCUGGAUGAACAAGCCUUGCUAAGUUUCUCCCUGUUUACUACACACAGCUCACACUCUUUGCCCUAUCACAUCUUUCCACGGCUGUCCACUCUUCAUCAAACCUCGUGUAAAAGGCUCAGGAUUAACUGCUUCUUAAGGUCUUUCUGUCCUUAUUAAGGCUCCAGUGUCAGAAUUCAUCUUGAACUAAAGUCAACUAAAAUACAGAUGCUUAAUUCUUCGGACUCAUUAGACAAGCCCUUAUUGACCAUCAUAAUUUUUCAGGCUCAUUACCUUUAUUGACCACCAUAUUUGAAGCUCUGCACAACUUAAAGGAAAGCUGAAGAAAACAAUGUUUGGGGUAUUUCUCCAUGCCUCUAGAGAGGUACAUGUUCCUAUUCUUUGAAUAAAGUGGGUGGGGCCCUGGGACAAGUUGAAAUAGCACUAUGGAAUAGGUCUGUUCGAUAUGGUUAUAUCUUUUUGUCUGAAGGGAACCACUAGACUUUUGAACAUUCAUACUAAAAUGUUAGUAUAAUAUUUUACUUCCAAAGCCAAAUAAAAAUGAUUUUAGGUCAUCUA
This is a long non-coding RNA of Herpailurus yagouaroundi (jaguarundi), 837 nucleotides long. RefSeq lists it as uncharacterized. The transcript is spliced from 2 exons. The record is from RefSeq and is a predicted model, not a curated record. Lineage: Eukaryota; Metazoa; Chordata; Mammalia; Carnivora; Felidae.